UACGUAGGGGGCUAGCGUUGUCCGGAAUCAUUGGGCGUAAAGAGCGUGUAGGCGGCCCGGUAAGUCCGCUGUGAAAGUCGGGGGCUCAACCCUCGAAUGCCGGUGGAUACUGUCGGGCUAGAGUACGGAAGAGGCGAGUGGAAUUCCUGGUGUAGCGGUGAAAUGCGCAGAUAUCAGGAGGAACACCAAUUGCGAAGGCAGCUCGCUGGGACGUUACUGACGCUGAGACGCGAAAGCGUGGGGAGCAAACAGG
RNAcentral lists this ribosomal RNA (253 nucleotides) under uncultured bacterium. RNAcentral describes it as "partial 16S ribosomal RNA". It matches the Rfam family "Bacterial small subunit ribosomal RNA", at positions 524 to 776 of the family's 1533-position model. The record is from RNAcentral.